This 71-nucleotide transfer RNA is filed under the name Myotis lucifugus (little brown bat). It matches the Rfam family "tRNA". Rfam says of the family: Transfer RNA (tRNA) molecules are approximately 80 nucleotides in length. The record is from Rfam by way of RNAcentral. Lineage: Eukaryota; Metazoa; Chordata; Mammalia; Chiroptera; Vespertilionidae.
GCCGGCAUAGCUAAGUGGUUGAGCAUCAACCUAUGAACCAGGAAGUCAGGGUUCGAUUCCCUGUUAGGGCA